This 468-nucleotide ribosomal RNA is filed under the name uncultured bacterium. Its description in RNAcentral is "partial 16S ribosomal RNA". It matches the Rfam family "Bacterial small subunit ribosomal RNA", at positions 28 to 507 of the family's 1533-position model. The record is from RNAcentral.
GACGAACGCUGGCGGCGUGCAUAACACAUGCAAGUCGAACGGAAAGGCCCUGCUUUUGUGGGGUGCUCGAGUGGCGAACGGGUGAGUAACGCGUGAGUAACCUGCCCUUGACUUUGGGAUAACUUCAGGAAACUGGGGCUAAUACCGGAUAGGAGCUCCUGCUGCAUGGUGGGGGUUGGAAAGUUUCGGCGGUUGGGGAUGGACUCGCGGCUUAUCAGCUUGUUGGUGGGGUAGUGGCUUACCAAGGCUUUGACGGGUAGCCGGCCUGAGAGGGUGACCGGCCACAUUGGGACUGAGAUACGGCCCAGACUCCUACGGGAGGCAGCAGUGGGGAAUAUUGCACAAUGGGCGGAAGCCUGAUGCAGCAACGCCGCGUGCGGGAUGACGGCCUUCGGGUUGUAAACCGCUUUCGCCUGUGACGAAGCGUGAGUGACGGUAAUGGGUAAAGAAGCACCGGCUAACUACGUG